GGAGAAGGGCCAUAGCUCAAUGGCAGAACAUCUGAUUUCAAUGCAGAAGGUCCUAGGUUCAAUCCCUGGCAUCUCCA
Molecule: non-coding RNA, 77 nt
Organism: Podarcis lilfordi (Lilford's wall lizard)
Lineage: Eukaryota; Metazoa; Chordata; Lepidosauria; Squamata; Lacertidae
Source: the annotation of a GenBank genome assembly